AACCUGCCCUAUGAAAAUUUAAAUGGCCGCGGUAUUUUAACCGUGCAAAGGUAGCAUAAUCAUUAGUUUUUUAAUUGAAAGCUGGAAUGAAAGGUUGAAUGAAAAAAUUUCUGUCUCUGUUUGAAUUAUUUAGAAUUUUAUUUUUAAGUAAAAAAGCUUAGCUGUGAUUAGAAGACGAGAAGACCCUAUAGAGUUUAAAUUUAGUUGGGGUGAUUGAAAAAUUUAGUAAACUUUUUUUUUAUUUAAACAUUUAUUUAUGAUUAUUUGAUCCUUAAGUAAAGAUUAUAAGAAGAAAUUACCUUAGGGAUAACAGCGUAAUUUUUUUAGAGAGUUCAAAUCGAAAAAAAAGAUUGCGACCUCGAUGUUGGAUUAAAAUAAAAUUUUGGUGUAGAAGCUAAG
Molecule: ribosomal RNA, 399 nt
Filed under: Sitona californicus
Lineage: Eukaryota; Metazoa; Arthropoda; Insecta; Coleoptera; Curculionidae
Description: partial 16S ribosomal RNA
Rfam family: Bacterial large subunit ribosomal RNA
Source: RNAcentral